GUUAUAUGGUCAAGCAUUUAAGCGUGCGUGGUGGAUGCCUUGGCAGCCAGAGGCGAUGAAGGACGUGGUAGGCUACGAAAAGCCUCGGGGAGCCGUCAAACAGGCUUUGAUCCGGGGGUGUCCGAAUGGGGAAACCCACCUGACUUGUCAGGUAUCCCUUACUGAAUCCAUAGGUAAGGGAGGCGAACGCGGGGAACUGAAACAUCUAAGUACCCGCAGGAAAAGAAAUCAAACGAGAUUCCCUGAGUAGCGGUGAGCGAAAGGGGAUUAGCCUUAAGUUGAUACAGUGUUAGUGGAACGGUCUGGAAAGUCCGGCGAUAGAGGUGAUAGCCCCGUACACGAAAGCGCUGUUUUGAUGAAAACGAGUAGGCCGGGACACGUGUAAUCCUGGCUGAAGAUGGGGGACCAUCCUCCAAGGCUAAAUACUCUGGCUGACCGAUAGUGAACAAGUACCGUGAGGAAAGGCGAAAAGAACCCCGGUGAGGGGAGUGAAAUAGACCCUGAAACCGCGCACGUACAAGCAGUCGGAGCCUCCUUUGUGGGGUGACGGCGUACCUUUGUAUAAUGGGUCAGCGAGUUAUUGUUAGUAGCAAGGUUAACCGUGUAGGGAGCCGUAGGAAACCGAGUCUUAAUAGGGCGUUUAGUUGCUGGCAAUAGACCCGAAACCGGGCGAUCUAGCCAUGGGCAGGUUGAAGGUGCCGUAACAGGCACUGGAGGACCGAACCGAAUAAUGUUGAAAAAUUAUCGGAUGACCUGUGGCUCGGAGUGAAAGGCUAAUCAAGCUCGGAGAUAGCUGGUUCUCCUCGAAAUCUAUUUAGGUAGAGCCUCGUGUCAUUAACUGCUGGGGGUAGAGCACUGUGUCGGCUAGGGGGUCAUCCCGACUUACCAACCCGAUGCAAACUCCGAAUACCAGUAAGUUCUAUCACGGGAGACAGACGGCGGGUGCUAACGUCCGUCGUCAAGAGAACAACCAGACCGCCAGCUAAGGUCCCAAAUAUCAGUUAAGUGGAAACGAUGUGGGAAGGCUUAGACAGCUAGGAGGUUGGCUUAGAAGCAGCCAUCCUUUAAAGAAAGCGUAAUAGCUCACUAGUCGAGUCGGCCUGCGCGGAAGAUAUAACGGGGCUCAAACUGAUAACCGAAGCUGCGGAUGCGUGCUUGCACGCAUGGUAGAGGAGCGUUCUGUAAGCCGUUGAAGGUGUGUCGAGAGGCAUGCUGGAGGUAUCAGAAGUGCGAAUGCUGACAUGAGUAACGACAAGGGGGGUGAAAAACCUCCCCGCCGAAAGAUCAAGGUUUCCUGUCCAACGUUAAUCGGGACAGGGUGAGUCGGCCCCUAAGGCGAGGCGGAAACGCGUAGUCGAUGGGAAAUCGGUUAAAAUUCCGAUACCGGCUGUUACUGCGAUGGAGUGACGGAGAAGGCUAGGCCAGCACGGCGUUGGUAGUCCGUGUUUAAGCGUGUAGGGAGAUCUCUUAGGUAAAUCCGGGAGGUUAUAUUCUGAGACGUGAUGACGAGUUUUUUGAGCGAUCAUAAGACGAAGUGGUUGAUGCCCUGCUUCCAGGAAAACCUUCUAAGCAUAGGUAACAGACGACCGUACUGUAAACCGACACAGGUGAUCAGGUAGAGAAUACCAAGGCGCUUGAGAGAACUUGGGUGAAGGAACUAGGCAAAAUGGUACCGUAACUUCGGGAGAAGGUACGCUCCUUUUGGUGAAGCAUUUACUGCGUAAGCUGAGGGGAGUCGAAGUAACCAGGCCCCUGCAACUGUUUAUUAAAAACACAGCACUCUGCAAACUCGCAAGAGGAAGUAUAGGGUGUGACGCCUGCCCGGUGCCGGAAGGUUAAUUGAUGGGGUUAGCUUAUGCGAAGCUCUUGAUCGAAGCCCCGGUAAACGGCGGCCGUAACUAUAACGGUCCUAAGGUAGCGAAAUUCCUUGUCGGGUAAGUUCCGACCUGCACGAAUGGCGUAACGACGGCCACACUGUCUCCACCCGAGACUCAGUGAAAUUGAAAUCGCUGUUAAGAUGCAGUGUACCCGCGGCUAGACGGAAAGACCCCGUGAACCUUUACUAUAGCUUCACAGUGAACUUUGGUACUACAUGUGUAGGAUAGGUGGGAGACUUUGAAGCGGCAACGCCAGUUGUCGUGGAGUCGACCUUGAAAUACCACCCUUGUAUUAUUGGAGUUCUAACCUAGACCCGUUAUCCGGGUCAGGGACCCUGUGUGGUGGGUAGUUUGACUGGGGCGGUCUCCUCCCAAAGAGUAACGGAGGAGUACGAAGGUGCGCUCAACACGGUCGGACAUCGUGUGAUGAGUAUAAUGGCAAAAGCGCGCUUGACUGCGAGAGAGACAUCUCAAGCAGGUACGAAAGUAGGUCAUAGUGAUCCGGUGGUUCUGUAUGGAAGGGCCAUCGCUCAACGGAUAAAAGGUACUCCGGGGAUAACAGGCUGAUACCGCCCAAGAGUUCAUAUCGACGGCGGUGUUUGGCACCUCGAUGUCGGCUCAUCUCAUCCUGGGGCUGAAGCAGGUCCCAAGGGUAUGGCUGUUCGCCAUUUAAAGUGGUACGCGAGCUGGGUUUAGAACGUCGUGAGACAGUUCGGUCCCUAUCUGCCGUGGGCGUUGGAGAUUUGAGAGGAGCUGCUCCUAGUACGAGAGGACCGGAGUGGACGAACCUCUGGUGUUCGGGUUGUCACGCCAGUGGCAUUGCCCGGUAGCUAUGUUCGGACAGGAUAACCGCUGAAAGCAUCUAAGCGGGAAGCCUCCCUCAAGACGAGAUCUCCCUUGGGGCUUGACCCCACUAAAGUGCCGUUGAAGACUACGACGUUGAUAGGCUGGGUGUGUAAGCACGGUGACGUGUUGAGCUAACCAGUACUAAUUGCACGUGAGGCUUGACCAUAUAAUCAC
This 2897-nucleotide ribosomal RNA is filed under the name Pseudomonadales bacterium. RNAcentral's name for it is "23S ribosomal RNA". It matches the Rfam family "Bacterial large subunit ribosomal RNA". The record is from RNAcentral. Lineage: Bacteria; Pseudomonadati; Pseudomonadota; Gammaproteobacteria; Pseudomonadales.